GAGCCGAGCCAGCCCCUCCCCUGCACAGCACCCCUCACCCCCACUGGGGCAGGCUGCCUGUUCAGACACCCUUGGUGCCCCCACACGGGUCUUUGGGGGUUUGGGGCACUGGCUGUUAGGCAGUGCCGUGGGGGGCGCCCCUCAUCUGUCCUGGACUCACUACGCCAUACGUACCUACCAGGACAGGUCUGGGCAUGUUGCCUGGGAGCCAGCUUAUCCUCUGGCUCUGCGCCCGUUCAGUGAGAGCCCCAGCGGUUGGCUCCCACGUGUCCCCCUCCCGGGCAGGCCUGGGACCUUCCUGUUCAGUAGCCCCUGCCCUGCCUUCCAGCCCCCCUGCUCCGCAGCGCUUCCCCAGGCCAGGAGCUAGCUGGUCCUGGUUCACAACCAGCACCACAUCUAGCCGCCUGCGACUGCCCUGCCCCAAUGGGCCAGGAACCCCGCUUACAGCAGGUUGGCUGCCGGUGUGAGAUCGAAGGGGCAUCGAAUGACACCUUAAUCCCGCUGCCAGUGCACCUGGGGGGAUGAAUCCUUCCGCCCCCAGGACAAAGGGGCGUGUGUGUAAACUGAGCCCCACACCUGGUUCAGAAAAGUGUUACAUUUCCCACGUUGCUCCUUCCACCCUACACCUCCCCUGAGUGCUCUGCAACCACCCCAGUGGGGCAUGUAAGGCAGGGACCAACCAGCUGUAGCUGGUCCCAAGGCCCUCAUGCUCUCUCUUUCCCAGGCUGGGCUGGAGUGGGGGUGCAGAGGAGUCAGGGGAGGGGGCUGGUCCCAGGACUGUGACAGUCUCUCCCCGAGGCCGGGAUGUGUGCGGGGGGUGUUGCAGAGGAAUGGGGAGAGGUGGGAGGGCUGGUCCCCGAGCUGUGACAGUCUCUCCCCGAGGCCAGGAUGUGUGCGGGGGGUGUUGCAGAGGAAUGGGGAGAGGUGGGAGGGCUGGUCCCAGGACUGUGACAGUCUCUCCCCGAGGCCGGGAUGUGUGCGGGGGGUGUUGCAGAGGAAUGGGGAGAGGUGGGAGGGCUGGUCCCCGAGCUGUGACAGUCUCUCCCCGAGGCCAGGAUGUGUGCGGGGGGUGUUGCAGAGGAAUGGGGAGAGGUGGGAGGGCUGGUCCCCGAGCUGUGACAGUCUCUCCCCGAGGCCAGGAUGUGUGCGGGGGGUGUUGCAGAGGAAUGGGGAGAGGUGGGAGGGCUGGUCCCAGGACUGUGACAGUCUCUCCCCGAGGCCGGGAUGUGUGCGGGGGGUGUUGCAGAGGAAUGGGGAGAGGUGGGAGGGCUGGUCCCCGAGCUGUGACAGUCUCUCCCCGAGGCCGGGAUGUGUGCGGGGGGUGUUGCAGAGGUAUGGGGAGAGGUGGGAGGGCUGGUCCCCGAGCUGUGACAGUCUCU
Non-coding RNA from Caretta caretta (loggerhead turtle), 1379 nucleotides. The record is from RefSeq and is a predicted model, not a curated record. Lineage: Eukaryota; Metazoa; Chordata; Testudines; Cheloniidae.